This 749-nucleotide long non-coding RNA is filed under the name Ananas comosus (pineapple). Its description in RNAcentral is "long non-coding RNA (ACOM_LNC040702)". The record is from RNAcentral. Lineage: Eukaryota; Viridiplantae; Streptophyta; Magnoliopsida; Poales; Bromeliaceae.
AUUUAUAUUUAAAAAGUUGAAAUUAAAAAAAAUUAAAUAUGAAUUUAAAAUUUAAAAAUUAGAAUUAAAUUUAAAUUCACUACAACGAAAAUGGUAUAUAGCGAUACUUUUAAAUAUCGGUACAACUAAAAAAAAGUACUACUGACUAAAUUAUCGACACUUUUUAAAAGUGUUGUUAUAUGUUGAGUUGCUAUAUGUAGGGCCACCUUGAUGUCUGGUACCCACUCCUCCAGUUACCUGUGGCGGAGGUACACGUGGCGAUCGUAAUUAACCUUUUAUGGUCCCUACGAGAUCCUCAUGGUCGAACUCCAGCCUCUGGAACCCUAUCUCGUCGGCUGUGGCGGCGAAGGAGGAGGAAGGGAGAUGGUGACCAAUUUUUUCUUUUUUCUUUUCUCUUUGUAAUCGGGCCGAGUGGGUUGGAUAAGAUUGGUUGAGUAGAGAAAUUUUUUGUUUUUGAUUGGAUAGUACUUUAUAUUUAGGUCUUAAUAGAUUUUUUUAAAAAAAUUUUGGCAUAAAUGGGACACUUACAUAAAAGUGUCCAAAAAAUGUGUCCCUAUAACCAUAUUAUAUUGUAGUGAUUUAAACUUUGAAUCUAAAAUUAAAAUUAAAAUUUGAAGUUUGAGUCCAAAAUUAAAAGCUUUUUUCUGCUUCUGAUUAAAAUUUAAAAGCAGUUUUUUUCUAAUUCUAAUUCCAAUGUAAAAAUUAAUUUUCUGAUUCUGAAAAGUGAAAUCAAAAUUUUCAGCACUUGU